GUAAAAUAUACAUGUUUGGGUCACCUUUUUCGAAAUUCAAAGUGAAGUCUACAAAAAAAUAUGUAUUGAGUUACUUUUUGUAAAUCGAUGUUGUCAAGUUCCAAAAAUAAUUAAUUUUUGAAUUUCUACCAAAGUAUUUGAUAUGGAUGUCUAGAAAGGAAGCCCACUGCUGGUUCCUGGCUUUUUCGUGGCGAUCCUCACCGACAUGGGCGACUCGCAACUGGGCUGCUUAUAUUGCCGCCUUUUUAUCAGGUCUCUUUGAAUGGAGCUUCCCAGGCUGCGAAUGGGCACCGCUGUAAUCCCAUCGAUCAGAUUCUCCCGGGCGUGCUGGAGCGUGCUAUCGAUCAGCUGCUCCACGGCUAUGGCUCGAGGAUCCACCAUCGGUUCACGCUCCAGCACGUCCACAAUCAUGCGCAGGGUCUCGUCCGCCUGGAACUCCUCCAGCGGCAGCACCUCAAUCAGCUCUUUGAACAUGUGAGCGACGAUGAAGUGGGUGCGGUUCACAACCUCGGAGUCGCCCAUAUGGACAUGAGCGCACAGCGAGUCCUUGGCGUGAUCGAAAAUUCCGGAUAUCAGCUCCUCGGUGUUCACAUCAGAGCGUUCGUAGUCGAACACAGCCACCACCUCGUUGAAUAGCUUGCGAAGCUCCUCGUUGCUGAUGUGGAUGAAGUACUUCUUCGGCACAAACGUCUGCAGAUGCUCCGUUAUGCACUCGGCUAUGCGAUCCGUGUACCGACCCUAAAAUAUAACCUUUGGCGGCCUGGCACAAAUAAAGCGAGGAGCGCUGGGCAAACUUGCGCACAUUCUCCGGAGUGGUGCUCUUCCCAAAGAAGCGAUUGAAACUCUUCUGGACAAUGGUCUGUACGCGAUCCAUGAUAAACUCAUCGGGCAUGGGUGGCAGCAUGUAGGCGUCGACAUUGAGGAUGGCCGGGCACACCAUCGCAUCGUCGUUGGGCAUUAUUUCACUGGUCACCACCUGGGGCUGUGCAUUGGGAUCCACCUCGAACUCGUAAUUGAUUUGCAGCGGCUUGGACUUCAGCCUGAGAGCGCAGAUCUCCCGCUCCAGGCACUGUUGAAUACAUAAUGCUUUAAGGAUCUGAAAUCAGUUUUGGAGAAUUACCCACUUCAAUCUGGUCCAGCAAGGAUUUUUCAAUGCCCCUCAGCUUCUCAAUGUCGUAGGAUAGAUUUAGUGCAUUCGGAUUGGCCCACUUGGCAUAGUUUUUGUUCUGAAUGUCCAACAGAGUGCGAAGGAUGUUGUUCUCUUCCCGGAGCACGGUCAUUAUGUUAACCUUCUCGGUGUUGUUCUGGGUCUCCAGGACCAGUUCCUCCUCGCAGCGAGCGAGUUCUUUCUGAUGCACAAUAGUUGGAUAUUAAAGAAAUUGUUAUACUUAUGAAAGC
Molecule: non-coding RNA, 1398 nt
Organism: Drosophila melanogaster (fruit fly)
Lineage: Eukaryota; Metazoa; Arthropoda; Insecta; Diptera; Drosophilidae
Source: Ensembl